This 249-nucleotide ribosomal RNA is filed under the name uncultured bacterium. RNAcentral describes it as "partial 16S ribosomal RNA". It matches the Rfam family "Bacterial small subunit ribosomal RNA", at positions 84 to 334 of the family's 1533-position model. The record is from RNAcentral.
UUUGAUGGCGACCGGCGCACGGGUGAGUAACACGUAUCCAACCUGCCGAUGACUCGGGGACAGCCUUUCGAAAGAAAGAUUAAUACCCGAUGGCAUAGUUCUUCCGCAUGGUAGAACUAUUAAAGAAUUUCGGUCAUCGAUGGGGAUGCGUUCCAUUAGGUUGUUGGCGGGGUAACGGCCCACCAAGCCUUCGAUGGAUAGGGGUUCUGAGAGGAAGGUCCCCCACAUUGGAACUGAGACACGGUCCAA